Molecule: non-coding RNA, 79 nt
Organism: Podarcis lilfordi (Lilford's wall lizard)
Lineage: Eukaryota; Metazoa; Chordata; Lepidosauria; Squamata; Lacertidae
Source: the annotation of a GenBank genome assembly
AUAUAUGUGUGUACACACACACACACACACACACACACACAUAUAUAUAGUGUGUGUGUGUGUGUGUAUAAGUUUUUAU